AGCCUGAGUUUCUCUUCAUUUGUCGCACAAAUCUUUCGCCUUUUACUACAGGUUUCCGUGGAGGGGAGCUUAUGCGAGUGACUGCACUUGUGGCUUUUGGGGCUCUGCUCACAG
This is a small nuclear RNA of Cyprinus carpio carpio, 114 nucleotides long. Its record names the gene U5. It matches the Rfam family "U5 spliceosomal RNA". Rfam says of the family: U5 RNA is a component of both types of known spliceosome. The record is from Ensembl. Lineage: Eukaryota; Metazoa; Chordata; Actinopteri; Cypriniformes; Cyprinidae.